RNAcentral lists this long non-coding RNA (1167 nucleotides) under Sus scrofa (pig). RNAcentral's name for it is "lncRNA (ENSSSCG00015002165.1)". Lineage: Eukaryota; Metazoa; Chordata; Mammalia; Artiodactyla; Suidae. The record is from RNAcentral.
GAGCAGUUCAGCCCCAGAGCAGCAGUACUGGGCCUGUUUGGAGAGCUAUCUUCCUAGUCCAUCAGUAACGACUUUGAUAACUGUUGGUUUUGAUUAGCAAGAUAGUUCUUUUGAAACUGUCCAGGCUUGAACACGUUAGCUUAUUUUAUGACUUUUGAUAACAGUAAGCUAUUAAAUGUUGUAAAUACAUGCUUUAGUUUUGAUACUGUGAUGUUUUUUCAAAUGAGUAAACUCACAUCAGGAAGAGAACCCUUUGCUGCAGCUUGGCAUAUUGGCUGUAUGAGGGUAGUGUGAGCUGCAAUAACAAAAGGGCCCUGCAGAUAUUCGUGGCUCAACUCUUAAAGUAAGACAGAGAAAUUUAGUAGUUUGUCGGCUAGGAAAUUAAAGGGUCAGUCUUCCUGUUCAGGCAGUUGGGCUCCAGAACACCUGUUCUUCACCUCUCUGCUCUAUUUCCAUCCAACAUGCCAAGACAACUCUGAAAUAUUAUUUCUUUCCCCCACUUUCUCAUACAUGGGAGGGUCAUCUCCCAUGUUGCUGUGCAUGCUGCAGUGUGCAUCUAACUGGAGACACGGAAGUAGUGGAUACAUCAGACCAGAUAACACAUUAUAAGUUGCUGUAAAACUAGCUUGCCUGGGAGUUCCUGUUGUGACUCAGAGCUGAGCUGCCUCAGGAGGCAGUGGAAGUGUUGAGAGACAGGGAUGGAGGCCACUUGACAGUAACAUCCAAAGAAAAUUCAAGAGCCGAGUCAGAGAAUGGACUAGUGUUCCUGAAAGUCGAAUCACGACCUGGGGAGAUAAAUGCCUGCUGUCUGUCACUCCAGAAAGAUUGAUGGCAUCUGAUCCCCUCCCUGCCCAACGCCUCUUGCCUCACUAGUGACUGACAUCUUCAGCAAAUCACGGGAAGUUCCUUUCUUACAGGAUCAUGGGGGCUAAGACACCUUUUGACAAAAUAAACCAAAUUGUUGCCAUGAAAUCAACAAACCAUUUUCCAAGCUUUGGACAACAUCCUAACUUAGGCAAAGGAACUCUGGAGAUGUUGACGAACCUGGGAAAACAGAUGUCUCCAGCCGACUGGUCAUCAAUGGGAGUCAAGCGGAAGCUUGGGAAAUUCAGAUGUCUUUCUUCUAUCUUUCCACCUAGUUGGGCACAUCCCCUGUGUGCUGGUUGA